RNAcentral lists this ribosomal RNA (433 nucleotides) under uncultured bacterium. RNAcentral describes it as "partial 16S ribosomal RNA". It matches the Rfam family "Bacterial small subunit ribosomal RNA", at positions 29 to 507 of the family's 1533-position model. The record is from RNAcentral.
AAUGAACGCUGGCGGCAUGCCUAACACAUGCAAGUCGAACGAGACCUCCGGGUCUUGUCGCGUCUGGGUGUGUAACGCGUGGGAACCUGCCCUUAGGUUCGGAAUACCUCUCCGACUGGGGUGCCAUCACGGGACAAUGUCUUCUGCCCAAUGAUUUAUCGCCUUGGGAUGGGCCAGCGUUGGAUUAGCUCGUUGGUAGGGUAAAAGCCUACUACGGCGCCGAUCCAUAGCUGGUUAGUGAGGAUGCUCAGCAACACUGGGACUCGGACGCGGCCCGGACUCCUACGGGAGGCAGCAGUGGCGAAUAUUGGACAGUGGGCGGAAGCCUGAUCCAGCAAUGCCGCGUGAGUGAUGAAGGCCUUAGGGUUGUAAAGCUCUUUUACCCGGGAUGAUAAUGACAGUACCGAGAGAAUAAGCUCCGGCUAACUCCGUG